This 65-nucleotide transfer RNA is filed under the name Melo melo. RNAcentral's name for it is "tRNA-Ser". The record is from RNAcentral. Lineage: Eukaryota; Metazoa; Mollusca; Gastropoda; Neogastropoda; Volutidae.
AGUUGUAUCCUGGGGAUAGUUUGUCUUGAAAAUAAACUCGAAGCGUUCGAUUCGCUUAACAACUU